GACGAACGCUGGCGGCGUGCUUAACACAUGCAAGUCGAACGGAAAGGCCCUGCUUUUGUGGGGUGCUCGAGUGGCGAACGGGUGAGUAACACGUGAGUAACCUGCCCUUGACUUUGGGAUAACUUCAGGAAACUGGGGCUAAUACCGGAUAGGAGCUCCUGCUGCAUGGUGGGGGUUGGAAAGUUUCGGCGGUUGGGGAUGGACUCGCGGCUUAUCAGCUUGUUGGUGGGGUAGUGGCUUACCAAGGCUUUGACGGGUAGCCGGCCUGAGAGGGCGACCGGCCACAUUGGGACUGAGAUACGGCCCAGACUCCUACGGGAGGCAGCAGUGGGGAAUAUUGCACAAUGGGCGGAAGCCUGAUGCAGCAACGCCGCGUGCGGGAUGACGGCCUUCGGGUUGUAAACCGCUUUCGCCUGUGACGAAGCGUGAGUGACGGUAAUGGGUAAAGAAGCACCAGCUGACUACGUG
Molecule: ribosomal RNA, 468 nt
Filed under: uncultured bacterium
Lineage: Bacteria
Description: partial 16S ribosomal RNA
Rfam family: Bacterial small subunit ribosomal RNA
Source: RNAcentral